This 314-nucleotide ribosomal RNA is filed under the name uncultured bacterium. RNAcentral describes it as "bacterial SSU rRNA". It matches the Rfam family "Bacterial small subunit ribosomal RNA", at positions 28 to 334 of the family's 1533-position model. The record is from RNAcentral.
GACGAACGCUGGCGGCAUGCCUAAUACACGCAAGUCGAGCGGAGUUAUGAUGGAGCUUGCUCCUGAUUAACUUAGCGGCGGACGGGUGAGUAACACGUAGGCAACCUGCCCUCAAGACUGGGAUAACUACCGGAAACGGUAGCUAAUACCGGAUAGGUAGAGAGGAGGCAUCUCUUCUCUAUUAAAGUUUAGAUACACCGAUAGAUGGGCUUACGGCGCAUUAGCUAGUUGGUGAGGUAACGGCUCACCAAGGCGAUGAUGCGUAGCCGGACUGAGAGGUUGAACGGCCACAUUGGGACUGAGACACGGCCCAA